RNAcentral lists this long non-coding RNA (3076 nucleotides) under Homo sapiens (human). RNAcentral describes it as "non-protein coding lnc-SCRN3-9:1". Lineage: Eukaryota; Metazoa; Chordata; Mammalia; Primates; Hominidae. The record is from RNAcentral.
GCCGCGCCGCUGCCUCCCGCCUCUCCCUCGGGCUUCCCGGUCGAGUGCGUUCCCAUGGCAACGGGCGCGCGCGGGGGUAAGAGGGUGCGCCCUCAUUCCCGCGGCUGCGAGGAGCCACCAGCGCCCCCCUGGAGGCGGCCGCCCGGAGCGGGAUGGAGCGGGGCCGGUGUGCGUUUUAGCUGAAAGCCCAGGUUUUUUCUUGAAUGGAAUUUGAGGAGGCGCAGAGAGGAGAAAAACGCUGUUACUCGAAAGAGGAAGAGUCACAGGAGGAUGCUGAGUGAACGCAGCGCCCAGGCAGGGUCAUCUGGGGACCUGGUGCGUGUGAGAACAUAUUUCUUCUCCUGGCGCCCUCCAGGCUCACUGUGGCUGGAGCCGGUGACCUGAAGCUGCAGGGCUCUGGUAGGAACAGAGGCACUGAAAGCUGCAUUCCUCUCCGUUUGGACUUAGGAGCUGCUAGUAGUUCUGAUGAAAUUGACACACAUUAGGAAAAGGAGUCGCUUAAAAAGCAUCUGAGAUUACCUAAGAUAAUUUGUUAAAAGACCAAUGCUUACACCUGAUUUUCUUCCCUUUACAUUAUACCUCUUUGAUAUUGUCUCAAGGAAAAAAAAAUCAGCAUGUGUCACUGACUGGCACUUAUUUGCCACAAAAGAUUGUUCCCCUGAGCUUCUUGUAUUUAUCUGAUAAUCACUGGCAACGUCCUCCUUUCUGUGAUGUUGUCUCCUCACCUCUGUCUCUGCCAUGAGGAGCCAUACAACGCCUUGAGAUUGUCAGCCAAAAGAUGUUCUUGAAAAGCUGGGUUAUAUGUUUUUCGUCGUUGUCGUUUAAUGUAUUCAAAAAGUCAUUCUUCUCUAGUUGCUAUAUGUGUUCCCUGUUUAAGAAAUUCCUUCUUUUUUCUUGUUUCUCUGCUUAGGGAUUUGAUACUAUUUUGGUAUCUGAUCAUGUAGAUCUUCUCUUUGGUUCUCCUUUCUUUCUACAGGCGUCUUUCCUCUUAGUUCCUCAGGUUCCCUAGUGUCUUCUCUCCCAUUUUCAAAUAAUUCUUUAAGAAUAUUAUAGAAAUAUCUUGUAUUUAAUGUAUCUUAGAGAUCGAAUCCUGAUAAAGUGGGAGAUUACUACAGUACUUCCAAUGGAACCACAGUUAAUUCACCAUCAUUAUUUCAAAGCAGACUUAAGCAUCAGAAGAAAAGCAGGUUGGAAGGAGGAGCCAAGCCUUUUGUUUCAAGUCAGUUAACUCAGGAAGAAAGAAAUAUUAAAAUGAUUCAACAUGAAUGGGCAAGUGUUUAAGAUGCUAUAUGUUUGGAAUUUUGUGAUGUAAAAUGGCUCUCUUUAGCCACUAAUCAAAAUACAUCUUUAAAAUCCCCAGAAUUUAAAAUCUUUCAUGAAAAUGGACUCUUGAUUUUGAACAACCUUUCUGCUCAUAAAAAAUUACAAACACACAGCUCAUGAAAAUAAAUGAGAAACUCAAGAAAGCUUUGUGGGAUAGAUUUUAUAACCAUAUAAAGAUUGCUGCUAAUCUGCUCUGCAGCCAAAUAAAUCAGAAACCGAAGACUCCAUUUACUGUUUCAACUAGUGGUCUUCAACAUUUUUGGACCAAAUUUCCUUUUGAGGCUCUAAUGAAAAUACUGUCCCUCCUCUUAGAAAAGUGCUUGCAUACAUACACACAUUCACCGGAAAUUUUUCACAUAAUUUCAAGGGGAUUAUGGGCUAUUCAGGGACCUUAGGUGAGCCCCUGGAAGUGUUUUUUGUAAUCUCAGAAAGUUUUUGCCUUUAUAAUUUAAAGGAAAAUAUUUUCCUUCAGAAUAGAACCAUUGAAUUUUGAAUAGGAAAAGACCAAAACUCCCAUGAUUUAUAGGUAAAAAAAUUGAGUUCCCCGUAAAAAGAUUUUCCCAAAUGUGUUCACCUAUUUAGUAGCAGAACCAAUGGGAAAAUCUUAGAUUUCUGGUGUUCUCACCGACCACCUUCCCUACCCACAUCCCGCAUCAAUUUAGAGGUUGCAUGGUUUGAAUUUCAAAAGAAAAAUCUGUUUAGUAUUAGAAGCAAAAUAACGAGAGUAUUUUGUCCUUAGCCAUUCUGCAUAGAGUUUGGGAAGUUGCAUUUUGUCUCAAAGAGUUUUUAUUAACAUGCCCUUCUACUCAGAACUAUGUGUCCCAUCAUGCUAAAAGAGAAACAAUGCCUUUCUCUCCUCUUUGUUAAGCUCUGUUAGAGCAUCAAGGUUUUGGUGCUGCAGCUCAGCUUGCUAGUAGCUCUCUCCAUCCCUUGAGGGGUUGUCCUGGGAGUGAGACAGAGAGAAAGGAGCUGCCCUGCACUCAGAUUUACCCUCCCAUCAUACAGCCGGCCUUUGGUUACUAGACCAGCUUUCCACUCACUAGUUUGGCCAAAUACAACUGAAUCCUAGUGAAAUACCCUGCUUAAACUCAAGUGAAGAUCCUUUUCCUCUCCCCUUUCUACUCGCACACCCACGUACACACACACACACACAGCUGUUUUUAAGGUACAAUUUGGAACAAAACAGUGUGAAUGUUGCUAUGUUUCCCUUUAAAGCAUCCUGCUUUCCACGAGCCAUUCCUUUCAACUGACUUCCAAAUGGUUUGAUGCUCUAACAAAAUGCUCUCUAUACUUGAUCAAAGUGCCUGUCUUGGAAAUAGUAUUGGCUUUUAAAAUAGCGUAUUUUUUUCAAUGAGCUAUUCCUAUUCUAUUGCAUGUGCUUCUUUUCUCACUUAGCUGAAAAUAAAGCCACAGCCUUUCAGCUACAGAGUCAAUGCAAGGAAGGGCGUUAACUGCUUGGAGGUGAUUAUUACGGGUGGUGACUUAGAUUGUUUAUAAAAGAAGGGCAAAGAAUGAAUUGACUUCUCAAAAUAUUUAUGUUUUCAUUCAAUGAUUUCAUUUUGUGCUUAACAUGCAAGUGCUUAGAAGAGCCAGAUUUGUUUAUUCGUUACUAACUAGCUGUCAGAUUUUUAGACAAAUGUUUUACUGUUUCUAGUUCUUAUCUUCCUCCUUUGUAAAAUGAAAGGAUGGUACUAAGGUAUCUCUAAUGUCCCUUUUAGGUUUAUCUGUCAUUGUGUGAUAUUUUAAAAUCUUU